AACGAACGCUGGCGGCAGGCCUAACACAUGCAAGUCGAGCGAGCAUUUCGGUGCUAGCGGCGGACGGGUGAGUAACGCGUGGGAACGUGCCCUUUUCUGCGGAAUAGUCCUGGGAAACUGGGGGUAAUACCGCAUACGCCCUUUUGGGGAAAGAUUUAUCGGGGCAGGAUCGGCCCGCGUUGGAUUAGGUAGUUGGUGGGGUAAUGGCCCACCAAGCCGACGAUCCAUAGCUGGUUUGAGAGGAUGAUCAGCCACACUGGGACUGAGACACGGCCCAGACUCCUACGGGAGGCAGCAGUGGGGAAUCUUAGACAAUGGGGGCAACCCUGAUCUAGCCAUGCCGCGUGAGUGAUGAAGGCCUUAGGGUUGUAAAGCUCUUUCAGCUGGGAAGAUAAUGACGGUACCAGCAGAAGAAGCCCCGGCUAACUCCGUG
This 433-nucleotide ribosomal RNA is filed under the name uncultured bacterium. RNAcentral's name for it is "partial 16S ribosomal RNA". It matches the Rfam family "Bacterial small subunit ribosomal RNA", at positions 29 to 507 of the family's 1533-position model. The record is from RNAcentral.